AACGAACGCUGGCGGCAUGCCUAACACAUGCAAGUCGAACGAGACCUUCGGGUCUAGUGGCGCACGGGUGCGUAACGCGUGGGAACCUGCCCUUAGGUUCGGAAUAACUCCCCGAAAGGGGUUCUAAUACCGGAUAAUGUCUUCGGACCAAAGAUUUAUCGCCUUUGGAUGGGCCCGCGUUGGAUUAGCUAGUUGGUAGGGUAAAAGCCUACCAAGGCGACGAUCAAUAGCUGGUCUGAGAGGAUGAUCAGCCACACUGGGACUGAGACACGGCCCAGACUCCUACGGGAGGAAGCAGUGGGGAAUAUUGGACAAUGGGCGAAAGCCUGAUCCAGCAAUGCCGCGUGAGUGAUGAAGGCCUUAGGGUUGUAAAGCUCUUUUACCCGGGAUGAUAAUGACAGUACCGGGAGAAUAAGCUCCGGCUAACUCCGUG
This 433-nucleotide ribosomal RNA is filed under the name uncultured bacterium. RNAcentral describes it as "partial 16S ribosomal RNA". It matches the Rfam family "Bacterial small subunit ribosomal RNA", at positions 29 to 507 of the family's 1533-position model. The record is from RNAcentral.